This is a long non-coding RNA of Electrophorus electricus (electric eel), 302 nucleotides long. RefSeq lists it as uncharacterized. Lineage: Eukaryota; Metazoa; Chordata; Actinopteri; Gymnotiformes; Gymnotidae. The record is from RefSeq and is a predicted model, not a curated record.
GUGAGCACUUUGCUGGUUUGCAGGCUAGAUAGCUAACAUGCUAGCCAGACAAGUCGGCAGCCAGCUCCAUCUAGCUUACUGGCUAACUUUUCCCCUCGCAACAUAAACUGCGCCCGAACAAACGUUUUCUGGCUGAAAUAUAAGGUCCCUUGUAUCGUAUUCUGGCUCCUGAUCUUCACCAUCCAGAAAAGGAGGGGGAUUUCGCAAUGAACUAACCGACAUUGUUUACCUGCUUUUACCAGAAAUGACAAAAACAAAAAAUAAACCGGGUGAGAUCUUUCCAAACUCAGUGAGGAGUGCGA